AAGCUUUGGAAGGAAUAUCUCACUCUGGUGGCCCCUGGCAUGACCAGAAACAAGUCACACACUAUAGUGACAGCUGGCACUAAGUGGUGCCCGUUAUUUUCACGGAGAUCCAGUUUCAUGAACCCCACUUUCUAGAUGGGGAAACCGAGUCUGGAGAUAUUCUUCUCAUACUGUGUGGCACUCAGGGCAAGUCCGCAACAGCCCUACAGACCUAGGAUUCCAGCCAAGGAAGACUAAAGAACGGAAGGUCUUUGAACCACAUUCAGAAUGCCAUUGACAUUGUUUUAUCUAGAACAUCAAGAUUUGUAUUAAGAAAUCCUUAGGUAACAUUUAAUUACUGAGAGGUUAUAAGAUGUGGUGAAAUGAAAAGUGACAUCAGGACUUUGUCUCCACUAUCCAGGAGUAGAAUUUAUGUAGCAUCAGCAUCCUGGCCCUACAAAGGAAAACCAAGGAGACACAGGGAGGGAAAGGAGCCUCGGCUCUGGAGUCUGACUACCAGCUGAGACAUGGAAGUUCCAGCACAAUUAAGAGAAUUCACUGCGAAGUUUGCCUACAUAGAGACAUCAUUUCUUUUUGUGGAGACAUUUCAAACUUAUGAACAGGAUAAAGGAACCAGUGGGGGAGUUUAAGGCCUGGGACCUUGAAAAUGAGCAAUUCUGUUUCUUGUCUUUGACAGCUAGUCCUGUCUUGGCUGGAAGCCAUAAAUGUCCUUGGUUCUGUUGGCAGCUAUGUUCUGGCUGGAGGCCUGAUAGACCAAAAUAUUUAGAGGCACUGGUUUGUGUUCUUGUUUUUAAUCUUUCGUCUCUUUUACAUAGAAACUUUAAUGAACACAGCUGCCUGAAAGCGCUACACGAUCCGAUGUGUCUGAAACUCUAAUCCAGAUAGCAAGCUGAAGGCUUAUGGAAGAAAUCCACCCACACUUGAAAACAC
Molecule: long non-coding RNA, 930 nt
Filed under: Cricetulus griseus (Chinese hamster)
Lineage: Eukaryota; Metazoa; Chordata; Mammalia; Rodentia; Cricetidae
Description: lncRNA (ENSCGRG00015038306.1)
Source: RNAcentral